Molecule: ribosomal RNA, 497 nt
Filed under: uncultured bacterium
Lineage: Bacteria
Description: partial 16S ribosomal RNA
Rfam family: Bacterial small subunit ribosomal RNA
Source: RNAcentral
GAUGAACGCUGGCGGCGUGCCUAAUACAUGCAAGUCGAGCGAACAGACGAGGAGCUUGCUCCUCUGACGUUAGCGGCGGACGGGUGAGUAACACGUGGAUAACCUACCUAUAAGACUGGGAUAACUUCGGGAAACCGGAGCUAAUACCGGAUAAUAUAUUGAACCGCAUGGUUCAAUAGUGAAAGACGGUUUUGCUGUCACUUAUAGAUGGAUCCGCGCCGCAUUAGCUAGUUGGUAAGGUAACGGCUUACCAAGGCAACGAUGCGUAGCCGACCUGAGAGGUGGGCCGGCCACCGGGGAAAUGAGCCCGGGUCCAGCCCCCGCCGGGGGGCAGAGUGAGGGAUCCUUCCGAAAGGGCGAAAAGCUGAACGGAGCACCGCCGCGGGAUUAAGAAAGGUUUUCGUAACGAAAAACUUUUUUAUUGGGGAAAAAAAAUUGUGAAAGAAAAUAGGCCCGUCGUAAGGGUCCUUAAUAAAAAGACCACGACAAACAACGGC